AAGUCGUAACAAGGUUUCCGUAGGUGAACCUGCGGAAGGAUCAUUACCGAGUGAGGGCCCUUUGGGUCCAACCUCCCACCCGUGUUUAUUUACCUCGUUGCUUCGGCGGGCCCGCCUUAACUGGCCGCCGGGGGGCUCACGCCCCCGGGCCCGCGCCCGCCGAAGACACCCCCGAACUCUGCCUGAAGAUUGUCGUCUGAGUGAAAAUAUAAAUUAUUUAAAACUUUCAACAACGGAUCUCUUGGUUCCGGCAUCGAUGAAGAACGCAGCGAAAUGCGAUACGUAAUGUGAAUUGCAAAUUCAGUGAAUCAUCGAGUCUUUGAACGCACAUUGCGCCCCCUGGUAUUCCGGGGGGCAUGCCUGUCCGAGCGUCAUUGCUGCCCUCAAGCCCGGCUUGUGUGUUGGGCCCCGUCCUCCGAUUCCGGGGGACGGGCCCGAAAGGCAGCGGCGGCACCGCGUCCGGUCCUCGAGCGUAUGGGGCUUUGUCACCCGCUCUGUAGGCCCGGCCGGCGCUUGCCGAUCAACCCAAAUUUUUAUCCAGGUUGACCUCGGAUCAGGUAGGGAUACCCGCUGAACUUAA
This 580-nucleotide ribosomal RNA is filed under the name Penicillium sp. MYf154. RNAcentral describes it as "eukaryotic LSU rRNA". The stretch from base 222 to 374 matches the Rfam family "5.8S ribosomal RNA". The record is from RNAcentral. Lineage: Eukaryota; Fungi; Ascomycota; Eurotiomycetes; Eurotiales; Aspergillaceae. RNAcentral also lists the same sequence under 1 other name.